RNAcentral lists this unclassified non-coding RNA (431 nucleotides) under plant metagenome. RNAcentral describes it as "partial contains 5.8S ribosomal RNA, internal transcribed spacer 2, and large subunit ribosomal RNA". The stretch from base 1 to 102 matches the Rfam family "5.8S ribosomal RNA", at positions 50 to 154 of the family's 154-position model. The record is from RNAcentral.
AAACUGCGAUAAGUAGUGUGAAUUGCAUUUAGUGAAUCAUCGAAUCUUUGAACGCACCCUGCACUCACUGGUAUUCCGGUGAGUACGCCUGUUUCAGUAUCAUUGAAAACACACAAUCAAAACAUUUUCUUUGGUUUGAUUGGCUUUGGGUCUAUCAAAAAGUUUGGCUUGUUUCUUACAAGCCAAGCGGCCUGAACUAUAUUGUCUGGCUAAUUGCAUCGUUGAUGAUCGCUAUUAGACUUUGGCUUUUUUAAAUGAACUGGAGGUUGAUUAACCAGUUUUAGCUUUAGUCAAAUGGUCAUUGUAAAAAAAAUCUCGAUCUUGGCUAGGUGUUUAUAGCCGAAAAUUUUUUUUUGGCUAUAACCGAAACCAAUAUAAUCACAUUUAGUUAUCGAUCUGAAAUCAGGUGGGACUACCCGCUGAACUUAAGC